Molecule: ribosomal RNA, 435 nt
Filed under: uncultured bacterium
Lineage: Bacteria
Description: partial 16S ribosomal RNA
Rfam family: Bacterial small subunit ribosomal RNA
Source: RNAcentral
GAUGAACGCUGGCGGUAUGCUUAACACAUGCAAGUCGAACGGACUCUUCGGAGUUAGUGUCGGACGGGUGAGUAACGCGUCAGAAUCUGGCUUUGGGUUCGGGACAACCACUGGAAACGGUGGCUAAUACCGGAUGUGCCGAGAGGUAAAAUAGAAAUUGCCUGAAGAUGAGCUCGCGUCUGAUUAGCUAGUUGGUGAGGUAAAGGCUCACCAAGGCAGCGAUCAGUAGCUGGUCUGAGAGGAUGACCAGCCACACUGGGACUGAGACACGGCCCAGACUCCUACGGGAGGCAGCAGUGGGGAAUGUUCCGCAAUGGGCGAAAGCCUGACGGAGCAAUACCGCGUGAGGGAAGAAGGCUCUUGGGUUGUAAACCUCUUUUCUUAGGGAAGAACAAAAUGACGGUACCUAAGGAAUCAGCAUCGGCUAACUCCGUG